GUCGAGCGCCCAGCAAGGGGAGCGGCAGACGGGUGAGUAACGCGUGGGAACGUACCCUUCGCUACGGAAUAACUCAGGGAAACUUGAGCUAAUACCGUAUACGUCCGAUAGGAGAAAGAUUUUAUCGGCGAAGGAUCGGCCCGCGUUGGAUUAGCUAGUUGGUGGGGUAAAGGCCUACCAAGGCGACGAUCCAUAGCUGGUCUGAGAGGAUGAUCAGCCACACUGGGACUGAGACACGGCCCAGACUCCUACGGGAGGCAGCAGUGGGGAAUAUUGGACAAUGGGCGCAAGCCUGAUCCAGCCAUGCCGCGUGAGUGAUGAAGGCCCUAGGGUUGUAAAGCUCUUUCACCGGUGAAGAUAAUGACGGUAACCGGAGAAGAAGCCCCGGCUAACUUCGUGCCAGCAGCCGCGGUAAUACGAAGGGGGCUAGCGUUGUUCGGAUUUACUGGGCGUAAAGCGCACGUAGGCGGACUUUUAAGUCAGGGGUGAAAUCCCGGGGCUCAACCCCGGAACUGCCUUUGAUACUGGAAGUCUUGAGUUCGAGAGAGGUGAGUGGAAUUCCGAGUGUAGAGGUGAAAUUCGUAGAUAUUCGGAGGAACACCAGUGGCGAAGGCGGCUCACUGGCUCG
This 628-nucleotide ribosomal RNA is filed under the name Phyllobacterium sp. RNAcentral describes it as "bacterial SSU rRNA". It matches the Rfam family "Bacterial small subunit ribosomal RNA", at positions 61 to 736 of the family's 1533-position model. The record is from RNAcentral. Lineage: Bacteria; Pseudomonadati; Pseudomonadota; Alphaproteobacteria; Hyphomicrobiales; Phyllobacteriaceae.